CUACGGGAGGCUCCAGUGGGGAAUAUUGGACAAUGGGGGAAACCCUGAUCCAGCAAUGCCGCGUGUGUGAAGAAGGCCUGCGGGUUGUAAAGCACUUUCGGUUGGGAGGACUGCUUCUAGCACUCAUAUUGUUGGAAGUUGACGUUACCUUCAGAAGAAGCACCGGCUAACUCCGUGCCAGCAGCCGCGGUAAAACGGAGGGUGCAAGCGUUAAUCGGAAUUACUGGGCGUAAAGCGCGCGUAGGCGGCUAGAUCAGUCGGGUGUGAAAGCCCCGGGCUUAACCUGGGAACUGCAUCCGAUACUGUCUAGCUUGAGUACAGGAGAGGAGAGUGGAAUUCCACAUGUAGCGGUGAAAUGCGUAGAUAUGUGGAGGAACACCAAUGGCGAAGGCAGCUCUCUGGCCCGAUACUGACGCUGAGGUGCGAAAGCGUGGGGAGCAAACAGGAUUAGAUACCCCUGUAGUC
RNAcentral lists this ribosomal RNA (465 nucleotides) under uncultured bacterium. RNAcentral describes it as "partial 16S ribosomal RNA". It matches the Rfam family "Bacterial small subunit ribosomal RNA", at positions 339 to 795 of the family's 1533-position model. The record is from RNAcentral.